UGCAGUUUAUCCAGAACUCAAAAGGCAGAAAACCAAUGUUUCAUUAAUUAUUCAGAAGGUGCUGUAAUGUGUGAGCACCAUCAGCUGUGACUUUUCUCCAUUUAACCACCGGGACCAUUAAGUACAAAACUAUUUUCUGUGGCUUCUGAAGUUCCUGAACUGAAUGUGUCUGUGUGCAUUGGGGAAAUAUCCCUUACAUGUUUUGCCUGUUCUUAUACUAUUUUUUUAAAGUACAUUUUUUAUAUUUUAUAUUUAAUUUUAUAUAUUUUUAAGUACAUGCUGCAGAUUACCAAGAAGUAAACUACUAGGUUAAUCAGAUAUUUGUCUAACACAGUAUGGCUGUUCUUCUAUAAAGAAGUAUUUUGCAGACAGUAUUGUAUAGAAUCUGCCAUGUCAAAUCAACUAUGUAACUUAGCUUUUCGGAAGGACAUACUUCUUUCUUUAAAUAGCUGCUUUGAAGAAUAAGAAUAUUCUCCACAGUCACUUUAUAAAAUGACAAAUACCCAUCCAUCAAGUAGCCAAUUGCUGAAUUCUGAUAAGAGGUUUCUAGGUUUGAGCUGCUAAGUGAAAGGGGGAUUCCUUUUGUUUCAUUUAAAAUGUGAGGAUGAUGAUCACUUGUGAAGACCUACAUAUUUAUUGCAAUUCAUAUCAUCCACGUCAUUAGAGAUUCUGUAAUCCUCUAUCACAUCCAUCACUUCUCAACUCUCUUUUGAGAUGUUAAAAUGCCUCUUAAGUAAAAGCUAUGGCAUACUUUAACCAUCCUUAUCAGACUUCUGCAUACCUUUCAAGUUUUUACUAGGUCCUUCCCAAAAUGCAGGGUUAGGAUGCAGAGAAAUUAGUGUUCUCUUGCAGUUCAAGACACGCAUGCGCUAUGGAUUUAAGACAUGGCCUGCUUAUUGUUUUCUGUUUUGUUAUCCGUUUCUUCCCUGAAAAAAAAACUGCCACUUUACUUCUCACAUUUUUCUUGUAUUCUUUACAGUGCUCCCACAGCUGUUUCCCUGGUGCAGAUACUGUUGCUUUGGGUUUCAAAAAGAGCAGAGCAAAGUCCCCUGUGGGAUGCUUCCACUUGGAAUGCAGGAAGUUUCUCUUAGAAGCAGAGGUACUAUGAGGAACAUAAAGUGCAGGCAUAUAGGGGAGUAUGAAAAAGUAGUGAGCAGGGGGCUACACAGCAGCAAUCUCUUUGCACCUGACUACAGCAUGCUACUGAUACCUCUGUUCUUUGUGUAUUAACAUUAUAGCUUGUGUAUUACCAAAUAAAAUCCCAGUGGAGGGAUCAGAAAACA
This is a long non-coding RNA of Gallus gallus (chicken), 1283 nucleotides long. RefSeq lists it as uncharacterized. The record is from RefSeq and is a predicted model, not a curated record. The transcript has 2 exons. NCBI's taxonomy places the organism in Eukaryota, Metazoa, Chordata, Aves, Galliformes, Phasianidae.